RNA transcript from Callithrix jacchus (white-tufted-ear marmoset), 1212 nucleotides. It is a transcript of the gene named transport and Golgi organization protein 1 homolog pseudogene, with no coding region annotated. The record is from RefSeq and is a predicted model, not a curated record. Lineage: Eukaryota; Metazoa; Chordata; Mammalia; Primates; Cebidae.
AUGAUGAGCAUUUUUUCACGUUUCUUGGCCUCAUGUAUGUCUUCUUUUGUAAAGAGUCUGUUCAUAUCCUUUGCCCAUGAGAAGAAAGCUCAUGAAAACUGGCUUAAAGCUCGUGCGGCAGAAAGAGCUAUAGCUGAAGAGAAAAGGGAAGCUACCAACUUGAGACGCAGAUUACUGGAAUUAACACAAAAGACGGCAACGCUGCAGGAAGAACCUGUGAUUGUAAAACCAAUGCCGGGAAGACCAAAUACACAAACCCUCCCCAGAGAGGUCCUCUGAGCCAGAUUGGCUCUUUUGGCCCAUCCCCUGUGAGCGGUGGAGAAUGCUCCCCUCCACUGACAGUGGAUACACCUGGGAGACUGCUCUCUGCUACUGUCAGUUGAAGAGAUAUGCCCAGAAGUGAAUUUGGAUCUGUGGACGGACCUCUGACUCAUCCUCGAUGGUCAGCUGAGGCAUCUGGGAAACCCUCUCCUUCUGAUCCAGGAUCUGGUACAGCUGCCAUGAUGAACAACAGCUCAAGAGGCUCUUCCCCUACCAGGAUGAUGGAUGAAAGCAAGGUUAAUAUGAUUCCAAAAGGGCCCCCUCCUUUCCCAGGAGUCCCUCUUAUGAGCACCCACGUGGGAGGCCCUGUACCACCACCCAUUCGAUAUGGACAACCACCUCAGCUCUGUGGACCUUGUGGACCUUUUUGGCCUCAGCCAAUUCCUCCACCCUUUGGCCCUGGUAUGCGUCCACCACUAGGCUUAAGAGAAUUUGCACCAGGAAGAUGGGACGUGCCACUCCACCCUCGGGAAUUUUUGCCAGGACAGGCACUAUUUAGACCUUUAGGUCCUCUUGGCCCAAGAGAGUACUUUAUUCCUGGUACCCGAUUACCUCCCCCAACCCAUGUUCCCCAGGAUUACCCACCACCACCUGCUGCAAGAGACUUACUACCGCCAGGCUCUAGAGACGAGCCUCCUCCUGCCUCUCAGAGCACUAGUCAGGACUGUUCACCGACUCUAAAGCAGGGCCCAUAACUAUAACCUCUGAUGUUUUAUUGGAGAAAAAAUGGACUGUGCAUUAUUCAUUACAGUAAAGGACUUCAUUGGCUUCAAAAAUCCAAGUUUAUUUUAAAAGAUCUGUUGUUAGAACUAAGCUGCCUUGGCAGUAUGCACUUUUGAGCUAAACAAUUCAGAAAUGUCAUUUCUUCCCUAAAUAAAAAUCACCUUUUAA